RNAcentral lists this ribosomal RNA (465 nucleotides) under Vreelandella stevensii. RNAcentral describes it as "partial 16S ribosomal RNA". It matches the Rfam family "Bacterial small subunit ribosomal RNA", at positions 338 to 795 of the family's 1533-position model. Lineage: Bacteria; Pseudomonadati; Pseudomonadota; Gammaproteobacteria; Oceanospirillales; Halomonadaceae. The record is from RNAcentral.
CCUACGGGUGGCAGCAGUGGGGAAUAUUGGACAAUGGGGGGAACCCUGAUCCAGCCAUGCCGCGUGUGUGAAGAAGGCCCUCGGGUUGUAAAGCACUUUCAGUGAGGAAGAACGACUGGUGGUUAAUACCCAUCAGGAAAGACAUCACUCACAGAAGAAGCACCGGCUAACUCCGUGCCAGCAGCCGCGGUAAUACGGAGGGUGCGAGCGUUAAUCGGAAUUACUGGGCGUAAAGCGCGCGUAGGUGGCUUGAUAAGCCGGUUGUGAAAGCCCCGGGCUCAACCUGGGAACGGCAUCCGGAACUGUCAAGCUAGAGUGCAGGAGAGGAAGGUAGAAUUCCCGGUGUAGCGGUGAAAUGCGUAGAGAUCGGGAGGAAUACCAGUGGCGAAGGCGGCCUUCUGGACUGACACUGACACUGAGGUGCGAAAGCGUGGGUAGCAAACAGGAUUAGAUACCCCAGUAGUC